UGACGUAAUUUACCUGAACUGCUGCUUAAU
Molecule: non-coding RNA, 30 nt
Filed under: Mus musculus (house mouse)
Lineage: Eukaryota; Metazoa; Chordata; Mammalia; Rodentia; Muridae
Source: RNAcentral